Long non-coding RNA from Dalotia coriaria, 863 nucleotides. RefSeq lists it as uncharacterized. Lineage: Eukaryota; Metazoa; Arthropoda; Insecta; Coleoptera; Staphylinidae. The transcript has 5 exons. The record is from RefSeq and is a predicted model, not a curated record.
GCCAAAUGCAAUUCGCGCAUAAGGUCGCGUGUGAUCGACGCGCCGGCUUUGCGCACCUCUUGUUUUCUUAUCAUAAACUGCCUCGUCGUUGCUUAUGCAGCUUGCGGCCAGUUUUGUGCCGGUCGCUGGUUGAUCCAGACGUAUUUUGCGCGACUCGUAUUGUUUAUCCGGACUUCUACUUUCCAAUUCGAAUUAUAUUCAAUCAUCAAUUGACUAUUUAAUUUUAACUUGACUUUAGUACAACUUUAGUAUUGUUAUUUAUUAUUUGCGCGUAAGUGUAUCGCGGCUAUGUUGUUUACCUGUUGUGAAGUGCCGUCGGCCAUCUUCCAAUUGUAAUUGAAGAAAUACCAGUGAGGGCCAGUGACGUUCCAUGAGUUACAAUACACAGGGUGAGAGUUCAUGGUAUUCGCCGUAGUCCGAUGUAGUCCGAUGAGUUCUUCAUUGACGUAAACGUUAACGCUACCCUUUUACGGUGCCCUAAGUUACACCUUCUACCGCUACCUUCGUACGGUGCCUUGAAUGGGAACUGGGAACUUGGACUGGAGAGGUUUCGCAGUACUGGUGGAGUGCGUAUUGAGGAUGAUGUUUUGUUUACUGAAGGUGGAUGUGUCAACUGGACUAAAAUACCCAGAACAGUCCAAGAAAUUGAAGAUUGGAUUGCCGGUGUUAAUAAUGAUUCCAAAAACGAUUUAAUGAAUUUACAACAUUUUUAAGCUGUUAUUGAUAUCAUUUUUGUUUAUUAUGUUAAAAAUUGUAAAAAGAGCAUUGUAUAAUUACAUGUAUAUAUUGAGAAAUUGAGUUACUGAUGGGUGUAUAUUCUACAUGUUUGAAUAAAAUUGUUGUUUUAUACUUUUAACUAUAAA